GAUGAAGAACGCAGCGAAAUGCGAUAAGUAAUGUGAAUUGCAGAAUUCAGUGAAUCAUCGAAUCUUUGAACGCACAUUGCGCCCCUUGGUAUUCCGAGGGGAAUGCCUGUUCGAGCGUCAUUAUAACCCCUCAAGCUCAGCUUGGUGUUGGGGCCUGCUGCACUGGCAGCCCUUAAAAUCAGUGGCGGCGCCAUCUGGCUCUAAGCGUAGUAAUUCUUCUCGCUAUGGAGUCCUGGUGGAUGCUUGCCAUCAACCCCCAAUUUUUCUAUGGUUGACCUCGGAUCAGGUAGGGAUACCCGCUGAACUUAAGCAUAUCAAUAAGCGGAGGA
This 329-nucleotide unclassified non-coding RNA is filed under the name soil metagenome. RNAcentral describes it as "partial contains 5.8S ribosomal RNA, internal transcribed spacer 2, and large subunit ribosomal RNA". The stretch from base 1 to 120 matches the Rfam family "5.8S ribosomal RNA", at positions 35 to 154 of the family's 154-position model. The record is from RNAcentral.